This 468-nucleotide ribosomal RNA is filed under the name uncultured bacterium. RNAcentral's name for it is "partial 16S ribosomal RNA". It matches the Rfam family "Bacterial small subunit ribosomal RNA", at positions 28 to 507 of the family's 1533-position model. The record is from RNAcentral.
GACGAACGCUGGCGGCGUGCUUAACACAUGCAAGUCGAACGGAAAGGCCCUGCUUUUGUGGGGUGCUCGAGUGGCGAACGGGUGAGUAACACGUUAGUAACCUGCCCUUGACUUUGGGAUAACUUCAGGAAACUGGGGCUAAUACCGGAUAGGAGCUCCUGCUGCAUGGUGGGGGUUUGAAAGUUUCGGCGGUUGGGGAUGGACUCGCGGCUUAUCAGCUUGUUGGUGGGGUAGUGGCUUACCAAGGCUUUGACGGGUAGCCGGCCUGAGAGGGUGACCGGCCACAUUGGGACUGAGAUACGGCCCAGACUCCUACGGGAGGCAGCAGUGGGGAAUAUUGCACAAUGGGCGGAAGCCUGAUGCAGCAACGCCGCGUGCGGGAUGACGGCCUUCGGGUUGUAAACCGCUUUCGCCUGUGACGAAGCGUGAGUGACGGUAAUGGGUAAAGAAGCACCGGCUAACUACGUG